This 640-nucleotide ribosomal RNA is filed under the name Tricholomataceae sp. TH8934. RNAcentral's name for it is "eukaryotic LSU rRNA". The stretch from base 238 to 391 matches the Rfam family "5.8S ribosomal RNA". The record is from RNAcentral. Lineage: Eukaryota; Fungi; Basidiomycota; Agaricomycetes; Agaricales; Tricholomataceae.
CAUUAGCGAAAGAAACUCGACCUUGCUGCUGCUGGCCCUUUGGGGCAUGUGCACGCUUGGCCGUUUCCUUCAAACCCACCCGUGCACCUAAUGUAGACUUGGGACCUCAAAGGGACCUUUACCGCGUCGCUUUGGCUCUGAGGGCUUUGCCGUCUAGGCUGUCCUUGUGUCUUCACAGUCUACGUCUUUAAAAACCCGCAUGUGUUCAGAAUGUUGGCAUAAAUUGAAAUGUAAUACAACUUUCAACAACGGAUCUCUUGGCUCUCGCAUCGAUGAAGAACGCAGCGAAAUGCGAUAAGUAAUGUGAAUUGCAGAAUUCAGUGAAUCAUCGAAUCUUUGAACGCACCUUGCGCUCCUUGGUAUUCCGAGGAGCAUGCCUGUUUGAGUGUCAUGAAAUUCUCAACCUUUCUUUGCUUGUGAAGCAAGGAUGGGCUUGGUUUGUGGAGCGUGCUGGCCCUUUGAGAGGUCAGCUCCUCUGAAUUUUGCAUUGGUGGAGAACGUCACCGUUCAGCCUUGGUGUGAUAAGUCCUUAUUUAUGCGCCGGGGCGAUGAUGGCUCUGCCCUUGUCGGGAUGGGAUUUGAAUUGAACUCUGACCUCAAAUCAGGUAGGACUACCCGCUGAACUUAAGCAUAUCAAUAA